UACGGAGGGGGCCAGCGUUGUUCGGAAUUAUUGGGCGUAAAGAGCGUGUAGGCGGCCAGAUAAGUCCGCUGUGAAAUCUCGAGGCUCAACUUCGAGCUGUCGGUGGAAACUAUCUGGCUAGAGUCCGGAAGAGGAGAAUGGAAUUCCUGGUGUAGCGGUGAAAUGCGCAGAUAUCAGGAAGAACACCCGUGGCGAAGGCGGUUCUCUGGGACGGUACUGACGCUGAGACGCGAAAGCGUGGGGAGCGAACAGG
This 253-nucleotide ribosomal RNA is filed under the name uncultured bacterium. Its description in RNAcentral is "partial 16S ribosomal RNA". It matches the Rfam family "Bacterial small subunit ribosomal RNA", at positions 524 to 776 of the family's 1533-position model. The record is from RNAcentral.